Molecule: ribosomal RNA, 465 nt
Filed under: uncultured bacterium
Lineage: Bacteria
Description: partial 16S ribosomal RNA
Rfam family: Bacterial small subunit ribosomal RNA
Source: RNAcentral
CCUACGGGAGGCAGCAGUAGGGAAUCUUCCGCAAUGGACGAAAGCCUGAUGGAGCAACGCCGCGUGGGUGAAGAAGGUCUUCGGAUCGUAAAACCCUGUUGUUAGAGAAGAAAGUGCGUGAGAGUAACUGUUCACGUUUCGACGGUAUCUAACCAGAAAGCCACGGCUAACUACGUGCCAGCAGCCGCGGUAAUACGUAGGUGGCAAGCGUUAUCCGGAUUUAUGGGGGGUAAAGGGAACGCAGGCGGGCAUGUAAUUCUGAUGUGAAGGCCUUGGGCUUAACCGGAGUAGUGCAUUGGAAACUGGGAGACUUGAGUGCAGAAGAGGAGAGUGGAACUCCAAGUGUAGCGGUGGAAUGCGUAGAUAUAAGGAAGAACACCAGUGGCGAAAGCGGCUGUCUGGUCUGUAACUGACGCUGAGGUUCGAAAGCGUGGGUAGCAAACAGGAUUAGAUACCCUUGUAGUC